UAGGUGGAAUCCGAAAAACUAGAAAAGAGUAGGAA
RNAcentral lists this non-coding RNA (35 nucleotides) under unclassified sequences. RNAcentral describes it as "DUF805b RNA". It matches the Rfam family "DUF805b RNA". Rfam says of the family: Bacteroidetes, Chlorobi (1 example), Proteobacteria. Lineage (Flavobacteria) The record is from RNAcentral.